Molecule: long non-coding RNA, 710 nt
Filed under: Oryza brachyantha (malo sina)
Lineage: Eukaryota; Viridiplantae; Streptophyta; Magnoliopsida; Poales; Poaceae
Description: long non-coding RNA (OBRA_LNC003429)
Source: RNAcentral
AUAAGUAGAGGAGUAUAGCAUAAUUAACAUCAUAUAGUUGAUUGCUUCAUUACUUGCAGUUGCAGGAACAGCAGUUUUACACAUGGUAUGACAGUGGAAUUGAGGGGGCUUCGCUCCAUGGAAAGCUGCCUUAAAACAUGUAGCUUCAUCAGAGCUCCCCACGCAAUUCAGAAUUAGCCUAAAAUAAUCAAGAACCGGUAGUACUAGUACAAUUGAUUAUAUAUGUGGAUAAUUAUGAAUUGAAUGAUUAUAUGAUUAUUGUACCGUGGCCAAUUCUUGCAUUGGUCACGUCUUGAUUUAUAUAGCAGUCAGUAAUUGAAUUUUACUUAAUGGUGAUCACUAGAGAGUGGAGGCUUUGAUCGAUCAGAUCGCCUCCAUGGAUUUGGUUUCCAUCUCCGGCUGAGCUGGUGGUGGUUGAGCUCGAUCGCUCGAUCAGUUGAGGGAGGAGAAGCUCCAGAGGCUGAUCUCACCUUCGUCCUCCCACUCGGCGGCGAGCGCUUCCGGCGCCGGCGCGAAGAACGUGUUGCAUGGGUCCAUCAUGGAGUAGUCCAUGCACUUGGGCGACCGGAAGAAGGCAUCGAUGUCGGCGAGCGCGGCGUAGUCCACGUCGUCCGCCGCCGUCGGGUCGUCGUGCGCCAUCUCGUGGUCGGCAGUCUCCGGGGAGCUGACGGCCGAGCACGACGACAUGUCUCCGUAGCUGCACGGCGGGG